AUGGGAGUUUCCCUGCACGAGCUCUCUUCUCUUUGCCUACUGCCAUCCAUUUAAGACAUGACUUGCUCCUCCUUCCCUUCCACCACGAUUGUGAGGCUUCCCCAGCCAUGUGGAACUGAAACAGGCUGAUAAAACUAUUCAGCUGGAAAACACAUGCUAACAUUCAUGAAAAAGAAGAAUGUCUCAGAGAAUGGAAAGAAGAGCCCAGAGGGCAGAGCUUAGAACCACAGAGAAUCAUUCCCAGGCCUUCAAGCCUAAUCAACAAAUUUCUGACAUUUACCCAUUGGGAUUUCAGAACUGCUACUGACUGAAACAAGCUUUUUUUAAUCCUACAACUGCAAGGAGAUAAAUUCUGCCAACAACCUGUGAAAGCUAAGAAUCAGUUGCUUUCCAGUCAAUCAGAUGCUUCCCAGUCAAUCAGAUGCUUCCCGGAUGAGAAUCAAGUCCCAGCAGACAGCUUGAGUGCAGCCUUGAAGAAGACCCAGCCACAUUGAGCCUAGACUAGCUAUCCACAGAAACUGUGAUAAAUGUGUAGCUUUAAUCCACUAAGUUUGCGGAUUUUGUAUGCAGCACAAAAAAAAUAAUACAUGACUUAUUAUGUAUUUUGUUUGCUUUUGGUUUUUUAUUCUAAUUUCAGAUUCAAAGGGUACAUGUGCAGGUUUGUUACAUGGGUAUAUUACAUAAUGAUGAGGUUUGGGCUUCUAGUUAACCCAUCACUAAAAUAGUGA
This 728-nucleotide long non-coding RNA is filed under the name Homo sapiens (human). RNAcentral's name for it is "HSALNT0378285". The record is from RNAcentral. Lineage: Eukaryota; Metazoa; Chordata; Mammalia; Primates; Hominidae.